UGCAGUCGAACGAGCUUCCGUUGAUGACGUGCUUGCACUGAUUUCAACAAUGAAGCGAGUGGCGAACUGGUGAGUAACACGUGGGGAAUCUGCCCAGAAGCAGGGGAUAACACUUGGAAACAGGUGCUAAUACCGUAUAACAACAAAAUCCGCAUGGAUUUUGUUUGAAAGGUGGCUUCGGCUAUCACUUCUGGAUGAUCCCGCGGCGUAUUAGUUAGUUGGUGAGGUAAAGGCCCACCAAGACGAUGAUACGUAGCCGACCUGAGAGGGUAAUCGGCCACAUUGGGACUGAGACACGGCCCAAACUCCUACGGGAGGCAGCAGUAGGGAAUCUUCCACAAUGGACGAAAGUCUGAUGGAGCAAUGCCGCGUGAGUGAAGAAGGGUUUCGGCUCGUAAAACUCUGUUGUUAAAGAAGAACACCUUUGAGAGUAACUGUUCAAGGGUUGACGGUAUUUAACCAGAAAGCCACGGCUAACUACGUGCCAGCAGCCGCGGUAAUACGUAGGUGGCAAGCGUUGUCCGGAUUUAUUGGGCGUAAAGCGAGCGCAGGCGGUUUUUUAAGUCUGAUGUGAAAGCCUUCGGCUUAACCGGAGAAGUGCAUCGGAAACUGAGAGACUUGAGUGCAGAAGAGGACAGUGGAACUCCAUGUGUAGCGGUGGAAUGCGUAGAUAUAUGGAAGAACACCAGUGGCGAAAGGCGGCUGUCUAGUCUGUAACUGACGCUGAGGCUCGAAAGCAUGGUAGCGAACAGGAUUAGAUACCCUGGUAGUCCAUGCCGUAACGAUGAGUGCUAGUGUUGGAGGGUUUCGCCCUUCAGUGCUGCAGCUACGCAUUAGCACUCGCUGGGAGUACGAC
RNAcentral lists this ribosomal RNA (856 nucleotides) under Levilactobacillus brevis. RNAcentral's name for it is "bacterial SSU rRNA". It matches the Rfam family "Bacterial small subunit ribosomal RNA", at positions 56 to 886 of the family's 1533-position model. The record is from RNAcentral. Lineage: Bacteria; Bacillati; Bacillota; Bacilli; Lactobacillales; Lactobacillaceae.